RNAcentral lists this ribosomal RNA (468 nucleotides) under uncultured bacterium. RNAcentral's name for it is "partial 16S ribosomal RNA". It matches the Rfam family "Bacterial small subunit ribosomal RNA", at positions 28 to 507 of the family's 1533-position model. The record is from RNAcentral.
GACGAACGCUGGCGGCGUGCUUAACACAUGCAAGUCGAACGGAAAGGCCCUGCUUUUGUGGGGUGCUCGAGUGGCGAACGGGUGAGUAACACGUGAGUAACCUGCCCUUGACUUUGGGAUAACUUCAGGAAACUGGGGCUAAUACCGGAUAGGAGCUCCUGCUGCAUGGUGGGGGUUGGAAAGUUUCGGCGGUUGGGGAUGGACUCGCGGCUUAUCAGCUUGUUGGUGGGGUAGUGGCUUACCAAGGCUUUGACGGGUAGCCGGCCUGAGAGGGUGACCGGGCACAUUGGGACUGAGAUACGGCCCAGACUGCUACGGGAGGCAGCAGUGGGGAAUAUUGCACAAUGGGCGGAAGCCUGAUGCAGCGACGCCGCGUGCGGGAUGACGGCCUUCGGGUUGUAAACCGCUUUCGCCUGUGACGAAGCGUGGGUGACGGUAAUGGGUAAAGAAGCACCGGCUAACUACGUG